UUGCUUUUACAAAAUACUUUCGUAAAUCUAAAACUUUUUGAAAGAGGAAGGCCCAUUGUAGGCAGAUGAGACUUUUUGACGAUCAACGAAGGCAGGACGAGCUACCAAGUAAGCAAAUGAAGAAGCUCAUCAAGGCUGGGUAAAAUGCCCGAAAGCCCGUUAGGGCUGUAAAAGGCUAGGAAGCCCAUCGGGGCUAUAAAAAGGCAGAGAGCUCGCAAAGGCUAAAGAAUGCCAGGAAGCUCGUCAGGGCUAGUCGGGGAAAGAAAAUGCUCGACGCCAGAGCUAAAAAAUAUCUAGAAGCUUGAUAAGGCUGUAAAAAG
RNAcentral lists this long non-coding RNA (320 nucleotides) under Manihot esculenta (cassava). RNAcentral's name for it is "long non-coding RNA (MESC_LNC001586)". The record is from RNAcentral. Lineage: Eukaryota; Viridiplantae; Streptophyta; Magnoliopsida; Malpighiales; Euphorbiaceae.